AUCGUCCAGGCCAGAAAUCAGGCCUUUCCCAAGCCUGUGCUGCCUCUCUCCUAGCCUUCUAAUCUGGUCGUCAGAUCUGUCAUCUUUGCUUCCCAGUAUCUAGGCUCCACCAUCUCUGUUCUCAUCCCCCUUAACUGUCAGCAGCAAUUGUAUGGAUUCCUUUGAAGACUGUGAACUUGAUCCCAUCAUUGAAGGAAACAGAUUAAAAAAAAAAAAUUCUAAGAGGCCAUUUUUCCAUUAUAAAAAUCUCCCUUAACCAACCUGUGCUGGCAGGAGAGGUGGCUUAGCAGUUAAGGGCGUGUAUCUGAGUUUGUCCUAAUCCUUUCCUUCCAUCUCCAACAUCCCUCCCAUGAAAAGCCAUUUAGAAGACAACGCAGACGUGUAAUAGAGCAUGGAUGUAGAUAUUUUAGAACAGCUGUGUUUCUUAGAUAUGAUAAUAGCAUAGCGGAUUUAUCUUAGUUCUCUGGAGAUACAUGUUAAAGUAUUCACUUAUUGAGACAGUGUCUCACCCAUUGUGCUGGCCAGCCUGGAACUCUCAGUGUAGACCAGGCUGGCCUUAAACUCAGAGAUCUUCCUGAGUCUACCUCCUAAGUGCUGGAAGUAAAGAUCUGACCACCACGGGAAGCAUAUGCUGAAGUGUUAAGUGGUAUGUGUCUAGACAAUUUCCAAAUCGUCAGUUUUCUUUUAACUUACACAACACAUUUUUAUCUACUUGGAGUGUGUAAAUUAUUUCAACUUCUCUAUGUUUGAAGCUUUUCUAAACAAGAAAUGGGUGAGAGGGUCUCUGUAGCUGCUGUGCAGGAGUUAGGGUCACAGGAGUAUUGCUUUAAUAUGAAACAUCUCAGAAUAGAUCUGCCGCCCUCCCCUGCCCGUGCGUGCUUCCUCACUGCAAUACUUACUCCUGGCUUUGUGACUAGCCCUCACAAACGCUGUCUCCAGCUGACAGACGCUUCCUCCCCUUCUCUGUCAGUGGUUCUCAGCCUGAGUCAAGACCCCUUUGGAUUGCAUAUCAGAUAUUUACAUUACGAUUCAUAACAGCAAAAUUCCUGUUAGGAAGUAGCAAAUGAAAAUCAUUUCAUGGUUGGGGAUCACCGCAACAUGAGGGACUGUGUUAAAGUGGCAGCCUGAGGAAAGCUGAGAACCACUGAGCCACAUCAUUAGCUCAAGAGUUACUUCUUCCUGGCACCUCAUCUCCCGGCCACCUGAGACCCUGCCUCAUCCGGCCACCCUGUGCUCCUGCAUCUUAUCCCCCACCCCCUGGGCCUCUGUCCAGAGCUUAUCUGGGGAUGCAUGUGAUCCAGUUCCCCUGCUCUCGCCUGCAGGCUCAGCUCUGUGGGGUCAGGGCCGGGUUCAUUCUCUGUAUGUCCUUCUGCAGCUAGCCCAACCCCUAACACAUACCAUGAUGCAGUUAGCAAAUAUUUGUGGGUCAAGUGGGUAGGUAAGGCCCCCUGUGCUCUUUCUGAACAUUCAAUCUUUUUCCCCUGCCUCCCUUUGCUGACUAAACCUUAGUGCUGUCUCACACCUGGUCAGCGCUGUUUUCCACCUCUUGGUUUUUGAGGCGGUUUUGGUCGGGGGUUGGGGAGUGUGUUUUGUUUUAUUGUUUCACUGCAGUUGGGUUUAUGGUUUGUUUUAUUUUGAGGCAGGGUUUCACAGUUUAGCCCUGGCUGGCCAGAAACUUGAUAUGUAGAUCAGACUAGCCUCAAACACAGAGAUCUGCCAGACUUUUUCUCUAGUCUUGGGGAUGCACUCCCAGCCCCAGGGGUGUCUUUUGAAAGUAUUGUUUCCCUUCAUCUCUACAUCCAACAUCUGGACAGGAGACCAUCCAUCCUUUUUCCCAUCCACCCAGAGGUUUCUUUCUUUGUUUUUGUUUUUGAAAACAGGAUUUCUCUGUGUCCCUGCCCAUGGAACUCACUACGUAGACCAGGCUGAUUUUGAACUCAGAGAUCACCUGCCUCUGCCUCUCAAUUGCUGGCAUUAAAGGUGUGAGCCACCUCUCCUCGCUGAGUGUUUGGCUUUUGGUUUUGGGGGUUUGCUUUGUUUUUAAGGCUUCCUUCAAUAAAAGGUUGGGCCAGUCAUGGCAGGAGAGUCCAGGAACUGCACCCCCUGCCCUGGGGAUUGGCCCAGUAUUACCAGGCUGCUUUUCCUGCCUGUUUUGAAAAUCUGCUGGCAGUAUCCAUGGCAGUGUAACACGCAGCAGCGUAGCGCCCCGCCCACGCUGACCUGGUACCACCCGCUUCUUCCCACUCCCGCCCUGCACACCUUACAGACGCAUGCGUGCCGUCCGUUUCCCGACCCUGUGUACUUGUACAUGUUGUUCUCUCUGGCUAGAAUUAGCACCUGCCUUGUCCAUCUGUCCUGCCCGGCCUCCAGCGCAGGGCUGCAGAGUCUCUCCUGGAGUCACUCUUGCUCCUCUUGAGGCCAAGCCGGUGAUUCAUUCCCCUGAGCUCUGGCAGUGUGUCCGCUCUGGGAUCUGUGCUCAUUCUGGCUGUUUUCCCCGGGAGAUGGAACUGACUUAGCAUCUGGUAGAACCUGAUACCAACAGAGCCUAGCAUACAAUGCUUAUUCUCAAUUCCAGUGUUUGAUAGAAAGUAGGGACCCUCCAAGCUGGAUGUGUGUCAGUCUGUCUGUCCAUCUGUGUCUCUGUAUGUUUAUGUGUAUGUGUGUAUAUGUCUCUCUGUGUAUAUGUAUGUGUUUCAGUGUGUCUGUGUCUCUGUGUUUACAUGCAUGUGUAUGUGUGUAUAUGUCUAUCUGUGUAUAUGUAUGUGUUUCUGUGUGUCUGUGUCUCUGUGUCUCUGUUUAUAUGCAUGUAUGUGUCUAUGUUUUGUGUGUGUGUGUUUCUCUGUGUGUAUGUGUGUCUGUGCCUGUUUAUAUGGGUGUCUGUGUGUAUAUGUAUGUGUCUGUGUGUUUAUGUGUGUGUGUCUGUGUCUGCAUGUGCCUGUCAGUAAGAACCCAGGCCUUGCCUGGAUCCAAUCUCUCUGGCAGCUGUUGGCAUAGCUCUCUCCAUAUUUGGCUUAGACAGUGAGAGAGACUGGAUGACGUGUCAUCAAGUAUCCUGUGCCCAGGACUGGGCAUAUCAUAUCGGCUUUUGUCAGCUGAAACCUGACACUCAAACAAGAUUUCAGAGUUUGACCCUCAAAGCCAGGCUCGCAGGUUCGGCCAGAGAUGUAGGUUUGGGAGAUGGCCCUGAUUAGUAGAAACAUUUUGAAUGUUGUUUGUUCUUUGAAACUUCUGAGCCCAUUGUUUAGUCUCUCUGAGCUUGUCUGGGGUUGCAAGACCUCCCUUGCUGUGGUUUUGAGGCUCUAAUGAAAUGACCUAGGCAAAUGACCUCAAGCAGCCCAUGGGAAGAAAUGUGUCUUUAAUAACUGUUGGUAUCCUUGAGUCCUAAGGAAGAAGAGAAAAGUGUCACUGUCCGCUCUAUACUUAGUCUACAAAUAAUCCUUUCAGAGUCACAAAUACAUUCAGUGCAAUAAAAAUUAGUCAUGUUUU
This 3486-nucleotide long non-coding RNA is filed under the name Mus caroli (Ryukyu mouse). RNAcentral describes it as "predicted gene 15903 (MGP_CAROLIEiJ_G0034584.1)". Lineage: Eukaryota; Metazoa; Chordata; Mammalia; Rodentia; Muridae. The record is from RNAcentral.